ACCGUGCAAGGUAGCAUAAUCAUUUGUCUAUAAUUGUAGACGUGUAUGANAGGCAAAAUGAGAGCCCAACUGUCUGUDAUAACGAANCAAUUAAACUGAUCUUCUAGUACAAAAGCUAGAAGCCAACAUAAGACCAGAAGACCCUGUGAAGCUUAACUAACCUAUAAACCCAAUAAUAACUACUUAGGUUGGGGCGACUUGGAAUAAAAAAGAACUUCCAAUCUAUGACUCCCUCAAAGCUAAGGCGAACAAGCCAACACGACCCAGUAAGCUGACAAUUGAAACAAGUUACUCCGGGGAUAACAGCGCCUCUUCUUUAAGAGCCCAUAUAAAAAGAAGGUUUACGACCUCGAUGUUGGAUCAGGACACCCCAGCAAUGCGACCGUUACAAAGGUUCGUUUGUUCAACGAUAAAGUCC
RNAcentral lists this ribosomal RNA (418 nucleotides) under Bothrops pubescens. RNAcentral describes it as "partial 16S ribosomal RNA". It matches the Rfam family "Bacterial large subunit ribosomal RNA", at positions 1945 to 2596 of the family's 2925-position model. The record is from RNAcentral. Lineage: Eukaryota; Metazoa; Chordata; Lepidosauria; Squamata; Viperidae.